GAUGAACGCUGGCGGCGUGCUUAACACAUGCAAGUCGAACGGUGAAGCAGGAGCUUGCUCUUGUGGAUCAGUGGCGAACGGGUGAGUAACACGUGAGCAACCUGCCCCUGACUCUGGGAUAAGCGCUGGAAACGGCGUCUAAUACUGGAUAUGUGAUGUGACCGCAUGGUCUGCAUCUGGAAAGAAUUUCGGUUGGGGAUGGGCAUCGCGGCCUAUCAGCUUGUUGGUGGGGUAAUGGCUCACCAAGGCGUCGACGGGUAGCCGGCCUGAGAGGGUGACCGGCCACACUGGGACUGAGACACGGCCCAGACUCCUACGGGAGGCAGCAGUGGGGAAUAUUGCACAAGGGGAGCAAGCCUGAUGCAGCAACGCCGCGUGAGGGGUGACGGCCUUCGGGUUGUAAACCUCUUUUAGUAGGGAAGAAGCGAAAGUGACGGUACCUGCAGAAAAAGCACCGGCUAACUACGUGCCAGCAGCCGCCGCCG
RNAcentral lists this ribosomal RNA (485 nucleotides) under uncultured bacterium. RNAcentral's name for it is "partial 16S ribosomal RNA". It matches the Rfam family "Bacterial small subunit ribosomal RNA", at positions 28 to 523 of the family's 1533-position model. The record is from RNAcentral.